Rattus norvegicus (Norway rat) is the source of this 4424-nucleotide non-coding RNA. Lineage: Eukaryota; Metazoa; Chordata; Mammalia; Rodentia; Muridae. The record is from RefSeq and is a predicted model, not a curated record.
AGCAAGUAAAGAUGGCACUGACAUCUAGUGGUCGUUUGUGGUAUAUGACCAUUAAGCCGUGUCUUUAGCUUUCUUCUGGCAUUUUACUAGGCCACAGUUGAUAAGCAUGUUAAUAAGAUAUCUCCACUCCACCAAUCCCCAGAGGACAAGUUUACAGCUACUGUCUGUUUUGUACUUAAAGUGAGUGCCUUUGUUCUCCGGGGUCCCCGGAAUCAACUAUGAGGUGUUCCUGCAAUAAAGGCUGUUAAAGAAGAAUCCAAAGGUGUCGCGUCUUCCUUGGUGGUAGAGGUGGGCGCUUCAACUGGUGGCCAAAGUACGGGGACCCGAGAAAAUUAUCUUUUCUCGUUUGGAUUCAGAACUUUUUCAGCCUCAGGACGGUCAACGUCGCUAUGCUUGCUGUUCCCAUUGGAAGUGGAUGUACAAGGUCUACAUUUCCUUAUUUGAAUCAUUGAUGAGAGGACGAGUCGUAGAUAAUCAACUGUUUCUACAACAUGCUCUGGGAACAUCUGCCUUGGUGCCUCAUGAGGAAACAGAUAAAGAGAAUAAAGUAAAUUUAAAAGUGGAAGCAAGAUUUGCAGCCUAAAAAGUUAGCAGCAGAUGAGAUUAAAAGCCUUUUACUCAGAACUGAACCAGUCCUGCUAUGCUCGGUUCUCAAAUCCCAAUGGGGACAGAGCAGCCCUCUUAGAGGUGCAGAGGAUCCUGAAAGCUGAGAGGAGACAACUAGUUUUGCUCACGUUCCUGAAGCAGGAGGAACCCUCCAAUGGCCCUCAGUGCCCUUUGUGCACAGGGACCUAGGGGCAGUAAGGGAAAGGAACCUACCAGUUUCUGUCUGCCUCCAGAGCUGGAAGCCAAUCUCCAGUAUCACUGACACACCUGAGAGCAGAGUUAAGGACAACUCUUCUGCUCUGGGUGACGCCCCUGGUGGCCUCAGGACACAAAAAGCCACUAGCAGUCAGACACAGGACAUGUCUGGUGUGUCUGGUAUCUGCCUGUACCUGGAGCUGAACUGCUCCCACAGCACUGUGUAUUCAAAUUCCAUGGGGGAAAGAGCUAGACUCUCAGAAAUGUGGACAAUUCUGAGAGCUCAGGCAAGACAAUCACUUCUGCUCACACUCCUGGCCCAAGAGGAAACUGCCUAUUGCCUUCUGGAUAUAGGAACCAAAAAGCAGUCAGCAGCAGGAACCUUUUAGUUUCUUCCUGGGCCAACAACUGAUAGUCAGUCACCUGGUAUUGUGAUACACCUGAGAGCAGCUGAGGUAAGACCAGCUAUUCUGCUCCAAGUGACCUUGAAGGAGGCUUCAGGGCAGAGGAGCAGCUCUCUGUUCCCAGAUCUGGUUGAAAGUAAACAGGUCUACAGGAGUGCUGACCUACAGGCUUAAAGGAGUAUCAAACCACUGUCAGAAACAGCAAGACAAGCUAACACAGGAGGCAACCUGAUAGUGUGAUGCAAGCACAGGAGCCUAAGCAACAGAAAUCAAGACUACUUGGCAUCAUGAGCGUCCAGUUCCCCCACCAAAGCAAAUACUAGAUAUACAAACACAUCAGAAAAACAAGAUUUGGAUUGAAGAUCACAUCUCAUGAUGAUGAUGAUAGAAGACUUUAAAAAGGACAUUAAUAACUCCCUUUAAGAAACAUAGGACAACACAGGUGAACAAGAAGAGGCCCUUAAAGAGGAAAACAUAAAAAUCUCUUAAAGAAUUAAAUGAAAGCACAAUCUGAAGGAGAAAGAAUUGAACAGAGUCAUUGUAGAUUUAAAAAUAGAAAAAGAAACAAUAAAGAAAUAAAAGAGGGAGACAACCAUGGGAAUAGAAAACCGGGUAAAGGGAUCAGUAGUCAUAGAUGCAAAUAUCAUCAAGAGAAUACAAGAUAUAGAAAAAGAAAUCAGCGGCAGAAGAUACCAUAGAAAACAUUGAUGUAACCACCCAGGACAAUGUAAAAUGCAAAAGGCUCUUACACAAAAUAACCAGGAAAUCCAGGACACAAUGAGAAGCUCAAACCUAAGGGUAUUAGAUGUAAAUGAGUGCAAAGACUCCUAACUUAAUGGGCCAGUAAAUAUUUUCAACAAAAAUAUAGGAGAAAACUUCCCUAACUUAAAGAAAGAGAUGCCCAUGAACAUUCAAGAAGGUUAUAGAGCUCUAAAUAGAUUGGACCAGAUGAGUAAUUUCUCCUAUCACAUAUGUCAAAAAAUAAAAUGCACAAAUCAAAGAAAGAAUAUUAUAAGCAGUAACGGAAAAAUCUCAAGUGACAUAUAAAUGCACACCUGUAAGAAUUACUCCAGACUUCUCUCCAAAGACAAUGAAAGUCAGAAAAUAAUGGAAAGAUGUCAUACAGACCCUAAGGGAACACAAAUGCCAACCCAGGCUACAAUAUCCAGCAAAAUACUCAAUUUACAUACAUGGAGAAACCAAGAUAUUUCAUGACAAACCAAAGUUAUUCAAUAUCUUUCUUUAAAUCCAGCUCUACAGAGGAUAAGAGAUGGAAAUCUCCAACACAAGGAGGGAGACUACCAUGUAGACAAAGCAAGAAAGUAACAUCUUUCCAACAAAACCAGAAGAAGAUGACACACAAACAUAAUUUCAUUCUAACUCUAAAUAUGAAAAUAACAGGGAGCAUCAAUCACUGUUCUUUAAUAUUUCUCAACAUCAAUGCAUUCAGUUCUCUAAUAAAAUGACAUAGACUAACAAGCUGGAUUCAUAAAGAGGACUCAGCGUUUUGUGGCAUACAGAAAACACAACAUAGAGACAAUGCAGACACUACCUCAGAGUAAAAGGCUGGAAAACAACUUUCCAAGUAAAUGGUCUGAAGAAACAACCUGGACUAGCCAUUAUGUUAUCGAAUAAAAUCGACUUUCAAACAAAAGUCAUUAAAAAAGAUAAAGGAAGGGCAUUUCAUAUUCAUCAAAAGAAAAUUCCAACAGGAUGAAUUCUCAAUCCUAAAUAUCUGUGCUCUAAAUGAAAUGGCACCUACAUUCAUUAAAAAAAAUUUUACUGAAGCUCAAAUCACAAAUUGUACUUCACACAAUAAUAGUAGGAGAUUUCAACACCUCACUGUCAUGAAUGGACUGAUCAUGAAUAUAUAAAUUAAACAGAGACAUAGAAAAACUGAUACAAGCUAUGAACCAAAUGGUUUUAACAGAUAUUUAUAUAACAUUUCAACAUAAAACAAAAGGAUAUACCUUCUUCUCAGCACCUCAUGGUACCUUCUCUAAAACUGACCGAAGAAGUUCCACCAGAGAUCUAAUUAACCAAAUAAACAACUUCAGCAAAGUGUCUGGGUAUAAUAUUAACUCAAACAAAUCAGUAGCUUUCCUCUACUCAAAGGAUAAGCAGGCUGAGAAAGAAAUUAGGGAAAUGAUACCUUUUAAAAUAGUCCAAAAUGAUAUAAAAUAUCUCUGUGUGACUUUAACGAAGCCUGUCAAAAUAUGCAUGACAAGAAGUUCAAGUCUCUGAAGAAAAAAAAAUAAUGCAAGAUCUCAGAAGAUGGAAAGACCUCCCAUGCUCUUGGAUUGGCAGAAUUAAUAGAGUAAAAAUGGCCAUUUUGACACAAGCAAUCUAGAGAUUCAGUGCAAUGCCUAUCAAAAUAACAAUUCAAUUCUUUAUAGAGAUAGAAAGAGAAAUUUUGAAAAUACUUUUGGAAUAACAAAAAACCCAGGAUUGCAAAAACUAUAAUCAACAAUAAAGAAUUUUUGGGAGAAUCACCGUCCCUGACCUUAAGCAGAAUUACAGAGCAAUAGUGAUAAAACCUGUAUGGUAUUGUUACAGAGACAGGCAGAUAGUUCAUUGGAAUAAAAUGGAAGACCCAAAAUGAACCUACACAACUAUGGUCACUUGAUCUUUGACACAGGUGCUAAAAACAUCCAUUGGAAAAAAGAUAGCAUUUUCAACAAAUGAUGCUAGUUCAACUGGAGCACAGCAUGUAGAAGAGUGCAAAUUGAUCCAUUCUCAUUGUCCUGGACAUAGCAUAAGCCCAUGUGAAUUAAGGACCUCCACAUCAAACCAGAUACACUCAAAUGAAUAGAAGAUAAAGUAGGGAAGAGUCUCAAAUACAUGAGCCCUGGGAAAUUUUCCUGAAAAAAAAUGCCUUAUGCUCUGAGAUCAAGAAUCAACAAUUUGGACUUCAUAAAACUGAAAAGCUUCUGUAAGAAAAAGGACACUCUACUUAGGACAAAACAGCAGCUAACUGAUUGGAAAAAGGUAUUUACCAAUGCUACACCUGAUAGAGGGAAAAUAUUCAAAAUAUUCAAAGAACUCAAGAAGUUAGACUCUAUUGGGUCAAAUAACCCUAUUAAAAAAUGUGGUACAGAGGUAAACAAAGAAUUCUCAGCUGAAAGAUAAUUAAUGUCUGUGAAGUAUCUAAAAAAAAUGUUCAACAUCCUUAAUCAGCAGGGAAAUGCAAAUCAAAACAACCCUGAGAUUCCAACUCAC